Molecule: ribosomal RNA, 491 nt
Filed under: uncultured bacterium
Lineage: Bacteria
Description: partial 16S ribosomal RNA
Rfam family: Bacterial small subunit ribosomal RNA
Source: RNAcentral
UUGAACGCUGGCGGCAUGCUUUACACCUGCAAGUCGAACGGUAACAGGCCUUCGGGUGCUGACGAGUGGCGAACGGGUGAGUAAUGCAUCGGAACGUACCCAGAGGUGGGGGAUAACGCAGCGAAAGCUGUGCUAAUACCGCAUGUGAUCUGAGGAUGAAAGCGGGGGACCGAGCAGCAAUGUUUGGCCUCGCGCCUUUGGAGCGGCCGAUGUCGGAUUAGCUAGUUGGUGGGGUAAAGGCCUACCAAGGCGGCGAUCCGUAGCUGGUCUGAGAGGACGACCAGCCACACUGGGACUGAGACACGGCCCAGACUCCUACGGGAGGCAGCAGUGGGGAAUUUUGGACAAUGGGCGCAAGCCUGAUCCAGCAAUGCCGCGUGCGGGAAGAAGGCCUUCGGGUUGUAAACCGCUUUUGGCAGGAACGAAACGGUGUCCGCUAAUACCGGGCGCUAAUGACGGUACCUGCAGAAUAAGCACCGGCUAACUACGUG